GAAAGAGAAAUAGAAAGAGGCGUGAAAACCAGAGGCUGUAACGGAGAAGAUGAAGAAAACUUCUUCAAGCACCGCAAUCAGCAGAUUCAUCGUCAACAAUCGAUUGGGAAUCGAAAAUUAUUUUCCUAUCUCUCUUCUAUUGUUCUUUUUCUCUCAGAUCUAUAAGUUUUGAGAAAAAUAUCUCUGAGAAAUUUCAAUAUGAUUUCAUGAAAAUCUGAAAAUUUCUUUCAAAAUCUUCAUUGAAAACAAGUUUUGAUUGUAGAUCCACAGUAAACAAACCUUGUUCUACAAACCCAUGAAGGGAUUUUUCUCUAAAAAUUACAAAAAUAGGGAUUUCUAGCCUGAUUUAGUUUUCCCCUGUGAAUGAAAUUCAAUGAGUUGUUGAUGAUAUAUCUCGUUCUUCAUACGAUUUAAUAACCCAAACGAUUUGCUGAUUGCAGCUGUACCACGAAGAUGGAAGAAGCUGCACGAGUAAGAUCGGAGCAGCAACAACAGCUCAGAAACAUAGGUCAUCAUCAACAUCGCCACCAACUCGUGGUGAUACCUCUUAUCCAAUAGGACACACUAUCUCGUACACCUCAGAUAAAGCCUCAAACUCGGACGAGAACCAAUAUCAGAUAAAACAAUCAACAUGAAUAUGAACACGGCUUCCAUCAACAGCUUUGCCUGAUUUAGGAAAGAUGAUAAUCGGGAUAAAAUCUCUUCACCAGCAGCGUGACUAAUUCGAGGAGUUACCUCGUACAGCUCAACUUGGAGCAACCAGUCUACACAGCUCAAUCUAGAGCAUUCAUCUCGGAUAAUAAAGCAACAGACAGGCGUCGGAACGAAGACCAGUCAUCUCGUACAGUUCAGUCAAGAGAAUCAAUCUCGGACGGAAAACGAUAAGAGAAUCCAAUCGGACGAACCAUACUCGUAUUGGCAGUACUUCUCAACUCAGAGCCGCAACCUCAGAUCGAAAAGAUACCUCCUAUCUGCUCGUGAAGAAAUAACCAGCACGAGGGGAGACGGUCAGAGCAAGAUCUCAUACUCACCAAUCUCGGUUGAGAAACCAACAAGACAACCAGAGCAUGAACUCGGAUGCCUCACUAUCUUAGCCUGAUUUUGGGCCAUUUUCCUUACUCUCUCUUCGUGUUGUCUUCCAUAACAAUUGUUAAACGAAAUCAACAGAUAAUGUGAUUACUAAUCUAGUUGGCUUGUUGCUGCAGAAAAACGAUGGCGGUCGAAAUCACAUCGGAAUCACCAGCUCGUGCUCAACUCGAGACCAACUCGUGGAGCCUAUUAGAGCUCGGACUCAUCAGUCCAUCUCCGAGCACCAACCUCGGACAAGCAAUUAACAGAACAACCAGCACGAUGGGAGUCAGUCAGAGCAUGAUCUCGGACUCACCAGUUGUUCGGUCUAGAAGCACGAACUCGGAUCGUACAUUGGGUUCGGACGAGGAGCAUCAUCUCAGACUUGUCACCCGACCAAAACUCGGAUAACACUUUAUCCCACAUCUAUUUCUGAAUACAUGAGAUGCUAGAUUAGUUUUAUCUAAACGCUUCAUAUUCAAUAAAUGAUUGAUAUUUUGAAUAUAGGGAAAUUUAAUACAUUUCAUGACCAACAGGUGCAUGAUGAAAUGCUCUACAGAGGGGCUAUGGUAUGGAUUCAGUCUCGGACGAACAACCAUAGCUCAAUAUAUUUCGGACUUACCAAGUCAUCGGUCAAUAAGCACGAACUCUGAUUGCAUGAGGUUAUCAGAUGCGAGCAGGAUCUACUCGGAAUCACAUGAUGUUCAACCAGAGCAUGUCAGACUAUCCAAGUGAAUGGAGCAUGAACUCGGACUCAACAGUCCCUCUCUGAGCACCAAAUCGGAUAGCAUUCCUCUCUUACCUUAUCUCUUGAUUUCUUUUAAAUAGCUAGAUGCUUUAUAUGCCUAAAUGCUUUGAAUCAAGAGAAAUUUGAUACAUUUCAUGACCAACAGGUACAUGAUAACAUACUAUACAGCAGGACUCUUUUAUAGCGUCUGUUUUAGAUGGUCAUUUCAAGACCAAUAAUCUUAUGAUGUCGAAAACAUUCAUCUCGGGUCAUCCACGACGAUGCAUCCGUACUCACCAAUCUCACCGCUAGAGCUACAAAUCCAAAUAGGAGAAAUUCUUAUCUCUUUAUCUUUGAAAUCUAUUAUGUUGCAGAUCUCUAAAGUAGACAAAUGCAUUCUAUCAAGCUCACAAGCUACAAUAGAAUCUACUAUAACAUGAUAUAUUGUCUUUAACUUCUUCGAUUAAACUUCGAUGGAAAUACACAGGGGUUGGAAUAAGUCUCCAGUACAAAGAAACGAGGGACACGAUCCAAUAAACAACUAUCUAGCCUAGCAGCAGGCUAAGGAAUUUGAGAGGCAAAACACAACCUCAUGACAAAGACUACAAAGCUAAAGGACAAUACGCUCUCCUACCAUUCUUGCCAGUCUAAGGACAAACAGGGCAGUUUCUAACUCAUAUAUUGAAUAUAUAAAUGCCUAACCAAGGCACGAUUUUUCGUAAGAGCAAGCUAAGAAAAUAUCUAGUCGCAAAGAAUCAGGCCGAUAUAUGUAUCGCACUGGUAAUCUAGCGUGCCUGCUCCACAACGAGCAUCACAUUAAAUGAUAAUGUGACACCUUAUCGCAUGAAACUGAACAGAAAUUGUUUAUUUAUAGUAAAUGCCUUAAAAUUAUUAAAUGCUUUUAACAUUAUGAUGUAUUAACAUUUCAUGUUUUGCAGCAAAUCUCCAUUAUGGUUGGAGAAUUCAGCUAAGUCGGAUUAAUUAUCCGCAUAAAGAAAAAGUCGGGUUAGACGUAAUCCGCAUAAAGGCAUGCUUAUCAUGCAUUAGGAACUAGCAUUGUUCUAGAUAAAGUUAGAGUCAGAUUAGUUGAAAUCUGCAUAAAGACAUGCUUAUCAUACACUAAGGUUAGAGUCGGAUUAGUCGUAAUCCGCAAUAAAGCUAUUAUUGUGUUUCUGUCUUCUUGCAGGUACACUUGAUGUAUGUAUGGUACAUAUGCUGGUUAUAUAUAUGUGUUUUCCUACAGGGUUAAAUGGUGUAUCAUACAUACAUCCUCCUCUUUUUCUAUAUGUAUGUGUUUGCUUGCAGGGAAAUUUGAUGAAUGUUGAAUGAAUGUGAUAUAAAUAUCUCCCUCUUGUCAUAUCUGUGUUUUCCUGCAGGGUAACUUAGUGUUCUUAAUAUGAAAUUUGUCUAUCACCGAUGGUAAUUGGGGCAUGAUCCCCAUCCGAGAAAACAUCUUCUCGAGAUGGUAAUUGGGGAACGAUUCCCGUCCGAGAAAACAUCUUCUCGAGACUAUUACGAAUAAUAUCUCGGUAAACCAAACCCUCGUGCGAGAAAAUAUCUUCUCAAAACCAUCACGAGGGUAAUCAGGCCAUGAGCCCCAUACAAGAAAACCUAUUCUCAAUGCCAUAUGAUUUAUUUUCAUGUGAUUGUUUUAUUCAUUAUUUGGAUCUGUUGAAUGCAUGAAUUAUAUAUGUUGUUUGCAGGUUCACUCACUUAGUAUUGUUCCAUCACGAAUGGUAAUCAGGAUACUAGUCCUGUGCGAGAAAACAUCUCCUCAGGACCAUCACGAAUGGUAAUAGGGGCAUGACCCCCUGUGCGAGGAAACAUCUCCUCAAGACCAUCACGAAUGGUAAGGUGCUAGCCACACCAUUUCAUCCUAAAACAUGAUGAUGCGAGCAAUGCUCAAGCUACCUGAGACGGACACAUUGACCUAGGGUGUAUCCUGUACUUCAUGAGGUACCCUAUAGUUGACUCACUUUAGGCUGAAGUGUGAAUCAACUAUCAGAGGUAUCGCCCUCACUCUAGUUAGCGCCACGAUCCGACUAUGGAGCAUAAGCCUUCCCAAAGAGAAGCGCUAUACAUAAUUUACGAAUAUAUGUCUAAUAGAGGCGUAUAUACUUGGCAUCAGAAGGAUCCUUGAAAUCCUCUUGACUUGUAUUUCAAGAGGCUAUACGGUCAAAUGGGAAGUUGAUCACUUCUCGGACAUAUAUCCCACAACUUGUCCAAGGACGGAAGGGAUACCACUAUGGUGCAAGCUACAGGCAAUAACAUCAUAACUGAUAUAUUCAGAAAAUGGAGUUAGGGGCAAACCUUGACUUUGGAUUUCUAAAGCUAUAAGCUCUUAAGCUUCCAAAAACCAAAGGGGGCAGUAUAUACCCUCGAUACUUUCAUAUUGAGGCAAUCUGUAAUUCCUCGGGGCAGGACUUCGGAUUACGAUCCGAAGGCAUUUUGAGUCCCCUCAGAUAUAAGCCUCCAAUUGGAGCACGAAGUAAGACCUCAGACUCCACUCCGAAGGCAUUCAACGAAAUCUUACGUCCACACGAUUUGAGGCAAACAGUAAGUCCUCGGGGCAAGGCUUCGGACUACCAUCCGAAGACAUUUUGAGUCCCCACAGAUAUGAGCAUCUGAUAUAUCUCGGAACCAAAACAAGACCUCGGACCGCCAUCCGAAGGCAUCUGAUAAAUCUUAUAGCAGCACGAUUUGAGGCAUUUAGUAAGCCCUCGGAGCAUGACCUCGGACUGCAAUCUCAAAUUCGUUUGGCAGACCCCACAAUGAUGAAUUACACACAACGCUUUUCACACACAGAGCAUAUAUGUUGAAUUGUACCCAUAAAUAUGAAUCCUCAUCACUCGGAGAAAGGAACAAGCUACAGAUGUAAAGGCAAUCAACCAAAUUUUGAAGAAAGCUGAGUAUCACCUUUAUUAAGGAGCUAUGUUACUGUGCAUCCCACUAAAAUUCUUCUCACAUAAUGCUUAAUAGCUUUUUAUAUAGCUUAAAUAGAUCGCAUAUGCCUGAAUACAAAUUAUUCAUACCGUAAACAUGCUUAAUGAUAUCAAAUAUCUUAUUUGUCUAUGCAAAUGCAAGACUUUGAACUGUUCUUAUCUCUUACAACUAUAGUACUUGAUUGCUAUAAUGUUUAUGCUUAUGAAGAAAAGUAAAUCUUAAACUUAUAUUUCUGCAAUAUAGUAAUUACUACUCUCUCUUGAGAAACAGGUACCCGUGAUGGUCCCGAGAAGCACUACACGACAAGUCGCCAAGAACCGAUGCUAACCAAGCCAAACGGAGCUGGAGCACAAACCUCCAAGGAACAACCACAACGAUCACGAACACAGGGACUGCCUAAUAACUUCACACAAGAAUAGGGGCAAGUAUUAAUACUUUAAAAGCUGGUUAUAUUCUACUGCGAAGUUCCUUCAGCAACAACACAGGUCCACGAAGCUCGUACUACACACCACCAACUGAAGUCAUGAACCAACUCCAGCAAAGAAUCAAAGACCAAGAAUUGAGAUCGACCUCGCACUGUUACUCGGAGUCGCAACUCGCACAACUACAUCGUGUAGCACAGAUCACAGAUCGUGAAGCACAAGCAUCGCAACAACCAACUCGGACGACCCCAACCAAACACUCUACAGAAGUAAAGUCUAACUACAAGCCAGAUCAGAACCAAGCAUGUUCAGAAAUCUCUCUCAGCCACUCUUCUCGUCCUCAAAGCCAUACCGAUGAUGAUUUUCUUAAGGAUUAUUGUUCCAACAACCCUCAACCAAAUGAGCAAAAUGUGAGGGAAAAAGAUGAGCUCGCAACGUGGCGCAGGAUUAAGAGCCGAAGAAUCCUAGUAUAAUACAACCUACUAGACAAUGUACACCCAACCACUUAGUCUUAGCCUAUCUAGUCAGUCCUAGGGACGCAUAUGUAAUUUAAUGUAAACACCUACCCUAUAAAAUAGAAAGAGGAAUAGGUUAGAAGGGAUGGUCUGUUAGCUAAGGCUACCCUCCUCUCUCUCUCUGAUGGCCUCCAUAGGUCUUCUUCUUCUUCCUUAGAGCUCUAUGAGAGCCUCUCCAGUGGAGAUCUUGUAAACACCUCACAACAUAGUGAAAUCCGUUGAUGUAGGUCACAAUUGACCGAACCACGUAAAAAGAUCUGUCUCCCUUUACAUUUCUGCACUUUAUCUUCUUUUAUGUGUGUUAAUGUAUGUUUUGAUGGUUAAGAUCA
This is a long non-coding RNA of Papaver somniferum (opium poppy), 6004 nucleotides long. RefSeq lists it as uncharacterized. The record is from RefSeq and is a predicted model, not a curated record. The transcript has 2 exons. Lineage: Eukaryota; Viridiplantae; Streptophyta; Magnoliopsida; Ranunculales; Papaveraceae.